Molecule: ribosomal RNA, 2566 nt
Filed under: Escherichia coli
Lineage: Bacteria; Pseudomonadati; Pseudomonadota; Gammaproteobacteria; Enterobacterales; Enterobacteriaceae
Description: bacterial LSU rRNA
Rfam family: Bacterial large subunit ribosomal RNA
Source: RNAcentral
CUGUGAGCUCGAUGAGUAGGGCGGGACACGUGGUAUCCUGUCUGAAUAUGGGGGGACCAUCCUCCAAGGCUAAAUACUCCUGACUGACCGAUAGUGAACCAGUACCGUGAGGGAAAGGCGAAAAGAACCCCGGCGAGGGGAGUGAAAAAGAACCUGAAACCGUGUACGUACAAGCAGUGGGAGCACGCUUAGGCGUGUGACUGCGUACCUUUUGUAUAAUGGGUCAGCGACUUAUAUUCUGUAGCAAGGUUAACCGAAUAGGGGAGCCGAAGGGAAACCGAGUCUUAACUGGGCGUUAAGUUGCAGGGUAUAGACCCGAAACCCGGUGAUCUAGCCAUGGGCAGGUUGAAGGUUGGGUAACACUAACUGGAGGACCGAACCGACUAAUGUUGAAAAAUUAGCGGAUGACUUGUGGCUGGGGGUGAAAGGCCAAUCAAACCGGGAGAUAGCUGGUUCUCCCCGAAAGCUAUUUAGGUAGCGCCUCGUGAAUUCAUCUCCGGGGGUAGAGCACUGUUUCGGCAAGGGGGUCAUCCCGACUUACCAACCCGAUGCAAACUGCGAAUACCGGAGAAUGUUAUCACGGGAGACACACGGCGGGUGCUAACGUCCGUCGUGAAGAGGGAAACAACCCAGACCGCCAGCUAAGGUCCCAAAGUCAUGGUUAAGUGGGAAACGAUGUGGGAAGGCCCAGACAGCCAGGAUGUUGGCUUAGAAGCAGCCAUCAUUUAAAGAAAGCGUAAUAGCUCACUGGUCGAGUCGGCCUGCGCGGAAGAUGUAACGGGGCUAAACCAUGCACCGAAGCUGCGGCAGCGACACUUAUGUGUUGUUGGGUAGGGGAGCGUUCUGUAAGCCUGCGAAGGUGUGCUGUGAGGCAUGCUGGAGGUAUCAGAAGUGCGAAUGCUGACAUAAGUAACGAUAAAGCGGGUGAAAAGCCCGCUCGCCGGAAGACCAAGGGUUCCUGUCCAACGUUAAUCGGGGCAGGGUGAGUCGACCCCUAAGGCGAGGCCGAAAGGCGUAGUCGAUGGGAAACAGGUUAAUAUUCCUGUACUUGGUGUUACUGCGAAGGGGGGACGGAGAAGGCUAUGUUGGCCGGGCGACGGUUGUCCCGGUUUAAGCGUGUAGGCUGGUUUUCCAGGCAAAUCCGGAAAAUCAAGGCUGAGGCGUGAUGACGAGGCACUACGGUGCUGAAGCAACAAAUGCCCUGCUUCCAGGAAAAGCCUCUAAGCAUCAGGUAACAUCAAAUCGUACCCCAAACCGACACAGGUGGUCAGGUAGAGAAUACCAAGGCGCUUGAGAGAACUCGGGUGAAGGAACUAGGCAAAAUGGUGCCGUAACUUCGGGAGAAGGCACGCUGAUAUGUAGGUGAAGUCCCUCGCGGAUGGAGCUGAAAUCAGUCGAAGAUACCAGCUGGCUGCAACUGUUUAUUAAAAACACAGCACUGUGCAAACACGAAAGUGGACGUAUACGGUGUGACGCCUGCCCGGUGCCGGAAGGUUAAUUGAUGGGGUCAGCGCAAGCGAAGCUCUUGAUCGAAGCCCCGGUAAACGGCGGCCGUAACUAUAACGGUCCUAAGGUAGCGAAAUUCCUUGUCGGGUAAGUUCCGACCUGCACGAAUGGCGUAAUGAUGGCCAGGCUGUCUCCACCCGAGACUCAGUGAAAUUGAACUCGCUGUGAAGAUGCAGUGUACCCGCGGCAAGACGGAAAGACCCCGUGAACCUUUACUAUAGCUUGACACUGAACAUUGAGCCUUGAUGUGUAGGAUAGGUGGGAGGCUUAGAAGUGUGGACGCCAGUCUGCAUGGAGCCGGCCUUGAAAUACCACCCUUUAAUGUUUGAUGUUCUAACGUGGACCCGUAAUCCGGGUUGCGGACAGUGUCUGGUGGGUAGUUUGACUGGGGCGGUCUCCUCCUAAAGAGUAACGGAGGAGCACGAAGGUUGGCUAAUCCUGGUCGGACAUCAGGAGGUUAGUGCAAUGGCAUAAGCCAGCUUGACUGCGAGCGUGACGGCGCGAGCAGGUGCGAAAGCAGGUCAUAGUGAUCCGGUGGUUCUGAAUGGAAGGGCCAUCGCUCAACGGAUAAAAGGUACUCCGGGGAUAACAGGCUGAUACCGCCCAAGAGUUCAUAUCGACGGCGGUGUUUGGCACCUCGAUGUCGGCUCAUCACAUCCUGGGGCUGAAGUAGGUCCCAAGGGUAUGGCUGUUCGCCAUUUAAAGUGGUACGCGAGCUGGGUUUAGAACGUCGUGAGACAGUUCGGUCCCUAUCUGCCGUGGGCGCUGGAGAACUGAGGGGGGCUGCUCCUAGUACGAGAGGACCGGAGUGGACGCAUCACUGGUGUUCGGGUUGUCAUGCCAAUGGCACUGCCCGGUAGCUAAAUGCGGAAGAGAUAAGUGCUGAAAGCAUCUAAGCACGAAACUUGCCCCGAGAUGAGUUCUCCCUGACUCCUUGAGAGUCCUGAAGGAACGUUGAAGACGACGACGUUGAUAGGCCGGAUGUGUAAGCGCAGCGAUGCGUUGAGCUAACCGGUACUAAUGAACCGUGAGGCUUAACCUUACAACGCCGAAGGUGUUU